UACAGAGGGGGCAAGCGUUGUUCGGAAUUACUGGGCGUAAAGGGCGCGUAGGCGGCCUGUUAAGUCGGACGUGAAAUCCCCGGGCUCAACCCGGGAACUGCGUCCGAUACUGGCAGGCUUGAAUUCGGGAGAGGGAUGCGGAAUUCCAGGUGUAGCGGUGAAAUGCGUAGAUAUCUGGAGGAAUACCGGUGGCGAAGGCGGCAUCCUGGACCAUUACUGACGCUGAGGCGCGAAAGCUAGGGGAGCAAACGGG
This 253-nucleotide ribosomal RNA is filed under the name uncultured bacterium. Its description in RNAcentral is "partial 16S ribosomal RNA". It matches the Rfam family "Bacterial small subunit ribosomal RNA", at positions 524 to 776 of the family's 1533-position model. The record is from RNAcentral.